GGGGAAAAGAAAAGAAGAGAGCUAAGUCUAAAAGUGUAAAUUCAAAAGAACAAGUCCCUAGUUGGUUAAAUCAAAGGAAAGUAAGGAGAGUUCAAUGGGUGAGAGAUGAAAGAGGGAGUAUUUUGGGUUUGGGAAAGAAAGAAAAGAAUGGUAGAACUUAGAGCUACUUAGGAAAUGGGUAGAAUGAUGAGAACAAGCAUUGUAUGCAUGAAUUGCUCCUUUCUUAGAUAAAUUUUGCAUAAUGAUCUUGUUCCUAUUUUUGAGUGUGAGUCACUAUAAAUAAUGCAAUUGAAACUCAUUUUUCUUCACAUUAGACCAUAUUCUCUCACCAAGCCAAAUGAUUGAGAUCAAAUAUCCAUUUGCAAGAAUUCACCUUGUGUGUGUGUGAAUGAAUGUGAGAGUUGGCUAAGGAAAUUGUUGGUUGAAUGGCAAUGUAACUUGUGUAGAGACAAAAGAUUCUUGAUAGGCCUUGAGAAGCUAGAGUGCACU
This 489-nucleotide long non-coding RNA is filed under the name Brassica napus (rape). Its description in RNAcentral is "long non-coding RNA (BNAP_LNC010548)". The record is from RNAcentral. Lineage: Eukaryota; Viridiplantae; Streptophyta; Magnoliopsida; Brassicales; Brassicaceae.